Molecule: ribosomal RNA, 301 nt
Filed under: uncultured bacterium
Lineage: Bacteria
Description: partial 16S ribosomal RNA
Rfam family: Bacterial small subunit ribosomal RNA
Source: RNAcentral
CAGUCGCCGCGGUAACACGUAGGUGGCAAGCGUUGUCCGGAAUUAUUGGGCGUAAAGCGCGCGCAGGCGGAUCAGUUAGUCUGUCUUAAAAGUUCGGGGCUUAACCCCGUGAUGGGAUGGAAACUGCUGAUCUAGAGUAUCGGAGAGGAAAGUGGAAUUCCUAGUGUAGCGGUGAAAUGCGUAGAUAUUAGGAAGAACACCAGUGGCGAAGGCGACUUUCUGGACGAAAACUGACGCUGAGGCGCGAAAGCCAGGGGAGCGAACGGGAUUAGAUACCCCGGUAGUCCCUGUCUCUUAUACC